UACGUAGGCAGCAAGCGUUGUUCGGAAUUACUGGGCGUAAAGCGAGUGUAGGCGGUCGGCCAAGUCUGUUGUGAAAUCUCCCGGCUUAACUGGGAGGGUGCGACGGAAACUGGCCGGCUAGAGUACGGGAGAGGAGAGUGGAAUUCCUGGUGUAGCGGUGAAAUGCGUAGAUAUCAGGAGGAACACCAGCGGUGUAGACGGCUUCCUGGACCAUUACUGACGCUGAGGCACGAAAGCGUGGGGAGCAAACAGG
Molecule: ribosomal RNA, 253 nt
Filed under: uncultured bacterium
Lineage: Bacteria
Description: partial 16S ribosomal RNA
Rfam family: Bacterial small subunit ribosomal RNA
Source: RNAcentral